This 443-nucleotide ribosomal RNA is filed under the name uncultured bacterium. RNAcentral's name for it is "partial 16S ribosomal RNA". It matches the Rfam family "Bacterial small subunit ribosomal RNA", at positions 338 to 795 of the family's 1533-position model. The record is from RNAcentral.
CCUACGGGAGGCAGCAGUGGGGAAUAUUGGGCAAUGGAGGCAACUCUGACCCAGCAACGCCGCGUGAAUGAUGAAGGUCUUCGGAUUGUAAAGUUCUGUGAUGGGGGAUGAACACAAUGACGGUACCCCAAUAGCAAGCCACGGCUAACUACGUGCCAGCAGCCGCGGUAAUACGUAGGUGGCAAGCGUUAUCCGGAAUGACUGGGCGUAAAGGGGGCGUAGGGGGUUUAGUAAGUUGGCGGUGUAAUUCCGGGGCUCAACCUCGGCGCUACCGCCAAAACUAUUAGACUAGAGUGCAGGAGGGGUAAGUGGAAUGCCUAGUGUAGCGGUGGAAUGCGUAGAUAUUAGGAGGAACAUCAGGGGCGAAGGCGACUUACUGGACUGUAACUGACACUGAGGCACGAAAGCGUGGGGAGCAAACAGGAUUAGAUACCCCUGUAGUC